AAUGGGGGAAACCCUGAUCCAGCAAUGCCGCGUGUGUGAAGAAGGCCUUCGGGUUGUAAAGCACUUUCGGUGGGAAAGAAAGUCUCAAAGUUAAUACCUUUUGAGAUUGACGUUACCCACAAAAGAAGCACUGGCUAACUCUGUGCCAGCAGCCGCGGUAAUACAGAGAGUGCAAGCGUUAAUCGGAAUUACUGGGCGUAAAGCGCGCGUAGGUGGAUAUUUAAGUCGAAUGUGAAAGCCCUAGGCUUAACCUAGGAACUGCAUCCGAUACUAAAUAUCUAGAGUAUGGUAGAGGGAAGUGGAAUUUCCGGUGUAGCGGUGAAAUGCGUAGAUAUCGGAAAGAACACCAGUGGCGAAGGCGGCUUCCUAGACCAAUACUGACACUGAGGUGCGAAAGCGUGGGGAGCAAACAGGAUUAGAGACCCUGGU
This 429-nucleotide ribosomal RNA is filed under the name Coxiella endosymbiont of Rhipicephalus turanicus. RNAcentral describes it as "bacterial SSU rRNA". It matches the Rfam family "Bacterial small subunit ribosomal RNA", at positions 370 to 791 of the family's 1533-position model. The record is from RNAcentral. Lineage: Bacteria; Pseudomonadati; Pseudomonadota; Gammaproteobacteria; Legionellales; Coxiellaceae.